UACGUAGGGUGCAAGCGUUAAUCGGAAUUACUGGGCGUAAAGCGUGCGCAGGCGGUUUUGUAAGUCUGACGUGAAAUCCCCGGGCUCAACCUGGGAAUGGCGAUGAAGACUGCAAGGCUAGAAUCUGGCAGAGGGGGGUAGAAUUCCACGUGUAGCAGUGAAAUGCGUAGAGAUGUGGAGGAACACCGAUGGCGAAGGCAGCCCCCUGGGUCAAGAUUGACGCUCAUGCACGAAAGCGUGGGGAGCGAACAGG
Molecule: ribosomal RNA, 253 nt
Filed under: uncultured bacterium
Lineage: Bacteria
Description: partial 16S ribosomal RNA
Rfam family: Bacterial small subunit ribosomal RNA
Source: RNAcentral